This 423-nucleotide ribosomal RNA is filed under the name uncultured bacterium. RNAcentral's name for it is "bacterial SSU rRNA". It matches the Rfam family "Bacterial small subunit ribosomal RNA", at positions 359 to 776 of the family's 1533-position model. The record is from RNAcentral.
GAAUUUUGGGCAAUGGGCGAAAGCCUGACCCAGCAACGCCGCGUGAAGGAUGAAAUCCCUCGGGAUGUAAACUUCAUAAGAACGGGAAGAAUAAGCCGGAGUUAACACCUCCGGCGAUGACGGUACCGUUAGGAAGCUCCGGCUCACUCCGUUCGAGCAGCCGCGGUAAGACGGGGGGAGCAAGCGUUGUUCGGAUUUACUGGGCGUCAAGGGCGCGUAGGCGGCCACCGCAAGUCGACUGUGAAAUCUCCGGGCUUAACCCGGAAAGGUCAGCCGAUACUGCGGGGCUAGAGUGCAGAAGGGGCAACUGGAAUUCUCGGUGUAGCGGUGAAAUGCGUAGAUAUCGAGAGGAACACCUGCGGCGAAGGCGGGUUGCUGGGCUGACACUGACGCUGAGGCGCGAAAGCUAGGGGAGCGAACGGG